CUCAAAGAUUAAGCCAKGCAAGUGGUUUGCUACCCGACGGUUUGAAUAAGUGUUCACGCAACAACUUUAAAACCUGACGGGCACUCACACACACACACACACACACACCUGCUUCAACACACUCGUUUUGCUCUGCGGCUCCCGCCAAGCCCUUACAGGGCCUGUGCUGGUUUGAGCACCGCGGCAGAACAGAGGCAAUUUCAAUGUGAGUGUUCUUCUGUUUCGGUGCCGAAUAUGUGUGCUUACGCGCGCAUGGCAAGCAUCGUGCACGAGGUUCACUUACGCAACUGCAGACAGCUGCUUAAUACAGUCACACUUGUCUUGACUUGGCACGAAAACAAACUGGAUGGUCAUUGCGCACAUGCACAUACACACACACACGUGCAUAUUGUGUAAACGGCUAGUACAGUUCUGUACGCUCGCCCUGCAGACCUUCCAUUUGUUGUUUCCUUGCGGCAACGCUGCCUCAUCAACAACUUUUGGAUAACUCAGGGAAAGUUUGGCUAAUACGUACGAGAUCUUAUUCCCAUGUGGUACACCACCAAUCCUGUGGGUUUGCAUUUGCUCAGCUGGUGCGCUGCAAUGCUUGCUGCUCUUAUACACACACACGUGCAGCCAUGUUGGCGCAGCGCGCACACCAAACAACUGGGCGUCUUGUGCAGAUCGGCACACAAGGGGGCGUGGUUGUUCCUUUGGCUCUUAUUGGACGCGUGUCCCGACUCCGCGCCUCUGCGCGCGAGAGAAAGCUCUCACUUGCACCAUGAGAGACAAUAAGAGCGCGUUCGGGGGCUCCGCUCACGCGGGGCGCUCUAGUCGAGCGGACUUGCGAGGAGUCAUACUUGCAAGCGUGUCAUACAAGCAUCUACAGCAUCAAGUCACAGGGUCGGCAAGUGUACUAUUGAACCUUCAAAGCAGUCACGCAUACGGAAGAGUAGUUUCUGAUCCCAUAGAAGGAGCACAGGACUCUGAGAGACCGCUCUUAGUUCUAAGGAACGCAGCAGGCGCGUAAAUUGCCCAAUGCUAGUCCCUUUCCCUUGUUAUCGGGGGAUCGGCGCUGGUGGGAACAAACAAAUAGUCAGCAAUUGGCAAUGGGCAUGUUACACACACACGACUGUCCAACUGCCCAACGGCUGGCCAGCUCUCUGGUAUUGUCGUUGUCGUUGUACCCUCGGGUGCACGCAUCGUCUCUACGAGAAGUUGAAGCAAACACAAACCACUGACUGCGUCUGGUUGGGCCCAUGUUCCACGUGGGUUCGACUGGCGCAUACACACACAAACCUUGUUCACUCACCCGUUGAGCGGCAGGGCGUUUGGUCAGCUGCGAGAGCAGCCUCCACUCGUUCCCCUGUUGCCGUCGGUGUACCUCGAUGCUUCCAUUGAGGCAGUGACAAGCUGUAACUUUUGAGUAUCAAAACAGACAAGGACCUGGCAUUGCCCCUCCGGGGUUGCAGUUGCCGGUCCUUUGUGUGCUCAAUUGGAAUGCGGUGAGUCUAAGCAAUUCAGAAACCUGGUUACGUUUUCGGACGUGACUCGUAUCUGAACUUCAAGUGGAGGGCAAGUCUGGUGCCGCGGUAAUACCAGCUCCACUGGCCUAUACAAUCAUUGUUGCGGUUAAGAGGCUCGUAGUUGGAUUGAACUGCAUAGAAUAAUUUUCUAUCAGUACUUAAAAACAUAAUAUUUUAUUACAUACGCUUGAAAACACACCACACACCCACAAGCGUAAAUAUUUUAUUAUGUUUCGACGCUGUUAUUUAUUUAUGUAUGUAUAUACGUAAAUAAUGACAUGUAUGUGAUUUAACACUCACUAUUGUGCGUAAGAUAGAGAAUUUAUUUUCUAUUAUUACCAUUUCAACACUGUGAACAAACCAGAGUGUAUCAAACAUGUCGUUUUUGAAUGUGCAUUGAAUGUCUUAUCAUGGGAUGUUGCACUUUCAUAUACUGGUUAAUUAAGAUUAUGCACUACUACACACACCACAUAUGUGCUAUAUAUUUUUAUUAGCCUAUACUAACAUAUCUUUUUUAACGGUUAAAAAAUGUCGAUGGGAUAGUUGGAGUCAACAGUACUGCUGGGCGAGAGGUGAAAUUCAUUGACCCUAGCAAGACUACCAAAAGCGAAAGCAGUUGGCUAGGCUAUACUCUUUGUGAUUUAUUUUUUUAUGCACACAACAGUAUAUCUAUUAUUAAAUAUAUAUUAUUUACGUUAAAACUACACACACAACCCAUAUAUAACGUAUAUAUAUAUAUUUAAGAUAUAUGCCCGUGAGUAUUUUAAAAAAAAUACACUUUACAAUGAAGAACGAAGGUUGGGGGAUCAAAGAGGAUCAGAUACCCUCGUCGUCCCAUUAAUUACAUCAAACGAUGGGCUCUCAAUUGCAUUUUUUUCAUUAAAUUGCAAAUUUCCUCAGCCUACAAAAUAACUGGGCUUGAGCUCGUGUUAUUUUUUAUGACACGCUCGCCUAAAUUUUUUCGUAUGGUCUCGAUGUGACGUUUCAUUUAUAUAUUUAUUUGCGUGUAAGCAUUAUGUUAUUCUUUGAAAUACAAGAAUGCAUUGCGUGCACUUGAUUUUCGGAGCUUUGCGCUCAAUUCUGGUGAGAUGUAAGCACUAUGUUAUUCUACCCGCAGUGUAUGUUAACAUAUUUUUGUCUUUAAUUAAUUUUUUUACCGCUACUCUGUAUGUAAUAAUUAUUAUUGUACAUUAAUCUAACAUUUCAUCUGUUGUGUGUGGGAUUAACAAUUUCGGUGUGAAGCACGCAUUAGGCACGCGCUUACUGCAGAAAUGUCUGAGACACUCUCCUCCGGGGGUAGUAUGCACGCAAGUGUGAAACUUGAAGGAAUUGACGGAAGGGCACCACAAGAACGCGUGGAGCAUGUGGCUUAAUUUGACUCAACGCGGGAAAUCUUACCGGGUCCGGACACACUGAGGAUUGACAGGCAAUAUUAAUAAUUUAUUUUUUCUGUGUGUUUACUCACAUCAGUAAUAUAUUUUAUUAUGUUAAAUAUGCUAGUCCUUUCAUGAUUAUGUGAUAGGUGGUGCAUGGCCGUUCUUAGUUCGUGGAGUGAUCUGUCUGCUUAAUUGCGUUUCACUAAGGGCCUAGAAAUUUACGUAUGUUGCGACACUUUGACCCCUCCUUGUGUGCGUGCGUCUUUGUUUGUUUAGCUCAUACAAAUAGGUCCUGAAAGCAACGAACGUGACCGCAACCUCUUGUUGCUUUCGUAUAUAUAUGAUACAUGUAUUUUAUUAUACUAGUAUAAUAUAUUAUACAUACUGCAUAUAUAAUAUUAUGUGUUCAUUGUCACUAACUAAAAAUAUAAGACUUGUCUUUUUUUUUAUGUUGUGUAGUGUCUUUACAUAUUUUGUAUAUCUUUAUGCACAGAAAGCUUUUAAACUAGAGGGACCGCUGUUACUUUCUUAAACCAGAGGAAGGUUGCGGCAAUAACAGGUCUGUGAUGCCCCUUAGAUGUUCCGGGCUGCACACGUGCUACAAUGAUUAUUGCCAGUGAGCAUCUCAUUUUAUUAUUCACACCGCAUGCGCGAGACCAUUUAUUCUCUCUUCGCGAGUGUUUUAAAUGUGUAUCUCUGCGCGCGGUAAAGCCUACUUCGAAAGUAAGCGGGUAAUCAAUUAGAAGUAAUGAUUUCCUAUAUUUUAUUGUAUCAUUUUUUUGGUAUAGUAAUUCUGCACACAUAUAUACGGCAUCUUUACCCGGGUAGCCUUGUUGUUACUUUUUGUGCGUAUCGAUGUUUUUUUCCGUAUGUGCGAUUGUCAAUUCAUGGUGGGGACAGACCAUUGUUAAUUGUUGGUCUCGGUCUUAACUAGGAAUGCCUUGUACGGGUCUUUGGUUCAACAAACCACCCGGAAUACGUCCCUGCCCUUUGUACACACCGCCCGUCGCUCUUACCGAUGGACUUCUCUGUGAGUUUGAGGGACUGGGAACGCAUGUAAUAAAUUUUAUUUAUUUAUGCACACCUAUGGAAACUUAAACGAACAGUGUGGUCUAAAGGAAAGAGAAGUCGUAACAAGGCAUCCAGUAGGUGAACCU
Molecule: ribosomal RNA, 4038 nt
Filed under: Globobulimina turgida
Lineage: Eukaryota; Foraminifera; Rotaliida; Buliminidae
Description: small subunit ribosomal RNA
Rfam family: Eukaryotic small subunit ribosomal RNA (bases 877-4038)
Source: RNAcentral